ACCUUUCCCACAAUCCUCUGAGAAGGGGUGUCAGUUGGAAUGUAGAUUGCGAAGGAGAAGGUUUGGAGAGAAAGAGAGCAGGGAGAGGAAUUCACCGGAACCAUGACUGACAAGUUGCCAGUGAUGAGAAUUGGAGUUGUGGGAUAUGGACAUUUAGGGCAGUACCUUGUGGAGCGGCUCCAGAGAGAAGGGGCCCAGGUGGGCCUGACACUGGUCUUUGUGUGGAACAGAAACACUGACAAACUCAGAGAAUCAGUGGCUGAGGAGCUGAUUCUACACAACCUCCCAGACUUUACAGACAGGGGUGCUGAUGUGAUUGUGGAGGUGUGUCAUCCCAAAAUUGUAAAAGACUUUGGAGUCCAAUUCCUCUCUAAGGCCCAUUUUCUGGU
This is a long non-coding RNA of Salvelinus sp. IW2-2015, 389 nucleotides long. RefSeq lists it as uncharacterized. NCBI's taxonomy places the organism in Eukaryota, Metazoa, Chordata, Actinopteri, Salmoniformes, Salmonidae. The record is from RefSeq and is a predicted model, not a curated record.